CCUUCCAAAGGCCCUACCUCCAGAUGCCGUCAAAUUGGUGGUUAGGAUUUCAACAAAUGAACUUGGUGGGAAAUACACAUUUGGACCACAGCAAUGUAUUACCGUCAUUCUUUUUAAUGUUAUCCAUUCUCUGUGUGUUGUAGAAUCUCAAAGUAAUCAUUUUCAUCUUAAUGAGGGUGAGAAUUUUUUUAUAUGCGAUUGGCAACUUUAAUACUCUCUUUGGCAAAGCACCUGUGAAGGUCUUUCCUGGUUUUCUAUGGGGUUGUCUGUUAUUUUCAUAUCUGUGGGAGUUCUUCGUAUCAUUGAGAUACAAUCUCUUUGUCAGUUAAAUAUCUUCUCCCACUCUAUGGCUUGGAUUUUUUGCUCAUUUAAGGCUUCUUAUAAAGGACAGAGUUCUUCAUUAAAAUGUCAUCCAAAAUUGCACUUUUUCAUUUAUGGUAGAGUUUUUUGUGUCUGCUUAAAGUGUCCUUCCCUACUCUGAGGUCAUGAAGGUAUUUUGCUGUGUUUUCUUACCAAAACAUUACUGUUUCACUUUUCACAUUUUGGUAAGCUGGUAUUGAUUUUUAUGUAUGGAGGCAAGUGGAGGUUAAAUCUUUCUUUCUCCCUCUUCUUUUCCUUCCUUCCUUCCUUCUCUUUCUUUCUCUCCUUUCUUCCCUCUUUCUCUUUUCUUUCACCUCAUAUAAAUACUUAAUUGUCCCAUCACAUGUAUUAGAAGUCCUGCCUUUCCCUGCACUCUGCGGGGCCACCUCUGUCACAACCCUGGAGGCCAUCCAUGCAGUGUGUUUCUGGAGUCUGUUCUGUUUCAGUGUUUUAUUUGUCUGCACUAUGGUCUGAACGUUUGUGUCCUCCCACAUUUCAUAUGCUGAAAUCUAAUUCCCAAUGUGAUAGAAUGAGGAGCUGGGGCCUUUGGGAGGGAGGAGUUCAUGGGGGCAGAUCCUCAGGAAUGAGAUUAGUGCCCUUGUAAAUGAGGCCCCAGAGAGCUCCCACAUCCCUUUUGCCAUGUGAGGUCACAGCAAAGAGAUGGCUUCCCUGAACCAGGAACCAGGCUUCACCAACACCAAAUCUGCUAGCACCUUGAUCUUCCACUUCCCAGUCCCCAGAACUGCGAUAAAUACAUUUCCGUGGUUAGAAGCCACCUGGUUUGUGGUGUUGUGUCAUAACAGCUAGGACAUGCUGAGACGGUCUUCCACCUCCACCACGGCAUCUCUGACCUUCAGCUCUGGGCAGUGCGACUGCCCAGCAGAGCAAGCUCCUGCCUGGAUCCUGCAAGGCUCUUCCAGGCCUUUGCAUUUUUGUAUAACUCACUUAAAAAAAUUUGGAGAACCACAGAAGUGAGAUGAUGCCCUUUUCAGAGCAACGUCAGGAACACAUGCUUCCCAGCGCCACACAGUUAAGGAGAUGUCUGACAGUCCUCUUUUCUGUACAGAGUCCAGGUUCCUGAGAGUGAAGAAUGAUGUUCAAAAACCAAGAUCUGUGAGUCACGUAAGCUUUCUGAAACAGCUUGUCAUUUUUCACAAACAGAUCUGUUUGAAUUGUGGUGGGAUUUCAGUGACCUGUAGAAUACUUUAGGGAGUGUUGAUAGUUUUACAAAAACGAGGCUUCCUCUUGUUAAACUCUCCAUUUUAUGAGGUUUUCUUCAAUUUGUCACUCUUGUAGUUUAUGGUUUUCCAUCUAGAGAUACUGUGUGUCAAUCAGAUUUAUUCCUAACUUUUUGAUGUUCUUUCAAUACUAUUUUAACUUGUUUUAGCUCUUCUAAAACUGAUUUUCUUACUGUUUAUUAUUGAUAUAUGGAAAUAUAGUUGAUUUUUGCCUGUUGGUCUUAUGUCUAAUAAACCAAUUUACUGGUUCUGAUAAUUUAUUCGUAGAUUAUUUUGGAUGGUCUACACACGCAAUUAUAUUUCCUGAGAAAAUGGCAGUUUUAUUUCUUCCUUUUUGAUACUUAAACAUUUAGCAUCUUUUUCACACCUUUCUGCACUGGCAGGACAUUCAGAACAAGGCUGAAAAGAGAAAGAGAGAGAAGGCAUUCUUAUCUUCUCACAGUCUUCAAGGGAAAGCUCUCAGCAUUUCAUAAUUGAGUACGUUUGUGGUAGACUUUUUUUCUGUAAAUACUUAUUGUCAUAUUAUAAAAGUUUCUUUCCAUUUUAAGUUUACUAUGAGAUUUUCUAGAAAUCAUUAAUAAAUGUUGACUUUUAAUGAAGGCAUCUAUUUAUAUCUACAUCUAUUAAGCUAAUCAUAUGAUAUUUCUCCUUUAUUCUGUUAAUGUAUGCAAUUAUAU
RNAcentral lists this long non-coding RNA (2275 nucleotides) under Homo sapiens (human). RNAcentral describes it as "HSALNT0375242". The record is from RNAcentral. Lineage: Eukaryota; Metazoa; Chordata; Mammalia; Primates; Hominidae.